UACGAAGGGGGCUAGCGUUGCUCGGAAUUACUGGGCGUAAAGCGUUUGUAGGCGGUCUUUUAAACCAGUGGUGAAAGCCUGGGGCUCAACCCCAGAAUUGCCAUUGGGACUGGAAGGCUAGAGAAUGUUAGAGGUAAGUGGAAUUCCUAGUGUAGGAGUGAAAUCCGUAGAGAUUAGGAGGAAUAUCGAUGGCGAAGGCAGCUUACUGGGACAUUUCUGACGCUGAGAAACGAAAGCGUGGGUAGCAAACAGG
RNAcentral lists this ribosomal RNA (253 nucleotides) under uncultured bacterium. RNAcentral's name for it is "partial 16S ribosomal RNA". It matches the Rfam family "Bacterial small subunit ribosomal RNA", at positions 524 to 776 of the family's 1533-position model. The record is from RNAcentral.